AGUGGAAGACAAACGGCCAGUGAAAAUUGGGAAAGCGACACGGAAGACGCUGCGACACGCACCCCCGUCUCCUGUAAAGAAGACAAAAACAUCUGCUGAGACACUCAGAACUGCAAGUGCAACAACAUCAACAGCUGCAAGGGCAUCACCAAUAGGUGGGACAACACCAGCAGUGCCAUCUCACAACAAUGAUGAUCAUCCGAUUGAAGGGGUGUCCCGCAAUAAGACGGAUCGUUUGAUCGAAACACUGAAUUCCAUCAUGGCAGAACGGAU
Lineus longissimus is the source of this 273-nucleotide long non-coding RNA. RefSeq lists it as uncharacterized. The record is from RefSeq and is a predicted model, not a curated record. The transcript has 3 exons. Lineage: Eukaryota; Metazoa; Nemertea; Pilidiophora; Heteronemertea; Lineidae.